This is a long non-coding RNA of Seriola dumerili (greater amberjack), 295 nucleotides long. RefSeq lists it as uncharacterized. The transcript is spliced from 5 exons. The record is from RefSeq and is a predicted model, not a curated record. Lineage: Eukaryota; Metazoa; Chordata; Actinopteri; Carangiformes; Carangidae.
GGGCCACAGGGGAAGUCUGGUGAUGCUGGGCAGCGUGGUCUGAGAGGAGAAACUGGACAACCAGGACCUCUAGGACCACAGGGGGAGAAGGGUCUCCAAGGCGUUGCAGGCCGUGCAGGAAAUGCUGGAGCUCCUGGUCCUCCUGGACAAGCAGGCUCUCCUGGUACCGUCGGGGUGAAAGGGGACAAGGGGGAAGUUGGUGUUGGUGUAUCUGGUCCCAGAGGAGAGAAAGGAAAUCCAGGACCCAAAGGCGAGGAGGGUCGUGCUGGACUGAAAGGGGAGAAAGGGCCAACAG